This 116-nucleotide ribosomal RNA is filed under the name Paraliobacillus sp. PM-2. The record is from RNAcentral. Lineage: Bacteria; Bacillati; Bacillota; Bacilli; Caryophanales; Bacillaceae.
CCUGGUGACAAUAGCGAAGAGGUCACACCUGUUCCCAUGCCGAACACAGUAGUUAAGCUCUUCAGCGCCGAUGGUAGUUGGGGCCUUGCCCCUGUGAGAGUAGGACGUCGCUAGGC